Molecule: ribosomal RNA, 253 nt
Filed under: uncultured bacterium
Lineage: Bacteria
Description: partial 16S ribosomal RNA
Rfam family: Bacterial small subunit ribosomal RNA
Source: RNAcentral
UACGGAGGGUGCGAGCGUUGUCCGGAAUCACUGGGCGUAAAGGGCGCGUAGGCGGCCGUGUAAGUCACUUGUGAAAUCCCGGGGCUCAACUCCGGGGCUGCAGGUGAGACUGCGUGGCUAGAGCACGGUAGAGGCGAGUGGAAUUCCCGGUGUAGCGGUGGAAUGCGUAGAUAUCGGGAAGAACACCGGUGGCGAAGGCGGCUCGCUGGGCCGUUGCUGACGCUGGUGCGCGAAAGCCAGGGGAGCGAACGGG